This 6725-nucleotide long non-coding RNA is filed under the name Homo sapiens (human). RNAcentral describes it as "HSALNT0038897". Lineage: Eukaryota; Metazoa; Chordata; Mammalia; Primates; Hominidae. The record is from RNAcentral.
AAGUGAGAUGACACAGUGAAACACAUAGCCCCGUACCAAGGACACAUUUAUUUACUCAAAAAAGCUAGCUAUGCGUAAGACCGGGAACAUUUAAACAUCAUAAAAGUAAAACAUGCUGACUGUAAAAAAUGGGAGAAAUCUGGUAAAGUGUAAAAACAAAAAUUACCAGUCACUGCAAUGCUUCUCGAUAAUAUUUUUCCAUCUAUUUUGUAUACUUAUUUUAUCAGUCAGUGUAGAUCAUAGUCCAGGGAAAACCGUACCAAAAUCUCAGUGGUUUCAAGGCACAGAGGUUCAUUUCUGCUCAUACCCAGAUCACAGGAGUCUGGGUGACUCUCAGGUGCUCUUUCCCAUAUUGUGGCUCAGUGAUAGAGGCUCCUUUGAGCUUCUGGGCCUUCAGAAUGAAUACACAUUCCCAUGACUGCUUAGGCCAGGGGAGAGUGGGCUGGGAAGGGUUGCACCAGCAAUUGAACACCAUCACCCAGAAGUGACACAGGUUACUUCUCUCGCAUUUCACUGGCCAAAGCAACUCACACAACCAUCCUGAUAUCAAGGGGCGAGGAAGGGAAAUCUUCCAGGGUGCCUGGAUGCAAUGGGCGAGUGGACCUGGGACACCGUGACUACGUCCACCCCACACAUUCCCAGAAUCGAAGACACAUCGCGUCUGUGAUUUUGCUUUUUCACUGCUUUUGUCUCUUCCCAUUACAUCAUAAAAUAUUCUUCGAAAACAUGUGGCACGGAUAAAGCUGCAGAUUUAAGAAAAGAUUUUAAGUUGUAUGGUGACACUAUUUCCCUCUUCCUCGUUCUCUCCUUCCUCUUAUUCUUCUAAUUUAGGGAACUGUAUGUAGGUGGCAGAGAUCCAGGCACCAAAACUUUGCAUGUCCUUGCUCAGAAAUGCCUCCUCUUCUCUUCCUGGCCAACGCAGGACAGGCCGGUUCUGUCGUUCCUUCCUGGAGAGCUUGUGCUGUUCUGUGGGCGUCUUUCCCUCCAGAAGUAACACAUUUGGAGGUGAGGCCCAGAGAACCUGCUGAACAACUGCCGGAUUAACAACUCCACAUGUGGGGUGUGGCUGCACGCGGCUCUGCCGGGGCCUCCUUGCGCAGACAGUCAGCCAGUGGUGUUAACGCGCAGUGUUAAAAGUGACACCAAAGUGGUGCCGGCGCCACUGUCAGCUGCUGCAAGAGAUAACACCCGGGCCUGCAGAGUUGGGUGCGAGCUCAGGAGCGACAGCCCCUCCUCGCUGGUGUCCCAGGAUCCCAGGGACCAGUGGGAAGGGGUCCAGGAGGAAGGAGCUCGGUGGGCCCACUCGAGAGGAGUACUUUGUUCCAAGCAUGCAAAGUAUGGGAAACUGAAGCUGUGGGGACAGUGAGGAACGUGUUGAGGUCAAGAGGCUGAGAACUGGAAGGAAGGACCAGUCGAGUCAGCAAGAGCACUGUGCUGAGAUCUGCUCUGUUCCUUUUUCGCUCAACAAACUUGCUGCCGUGUGCCUGCUCUGCUCCUGCAGGGAGGGCACCUGCGACCUUCCUAAAAGAGAUCAUCAACAACUUCUGAGGUUUAGAAUCCAGCUGUGAAAAUGUUACUGACAUACUUGAAACAAUUAAAGAUGAACGCAAAGUGCACUCUCAUCUGGCAUUGGGCUGUGCAGGCAGGUGGCCUGGGUUUCAGAGGAAUUGGCAGGAGGGAGAGUUUGCUGAGGGCAUAGAAAUGCUCCAAAGGGCUCCUUCUUUGUCAGCUGCCACCAUCCACAGAAACCCCAGAGAGCAGGGGAAGAAAGCAAAUGUGGAGCAAAGAAGGCAAGCAGGGAGAAGGGGAUUAUGUAAUCCUCCAGCAGUGUGUGAGCUGAGUGAGGCAGUCCUCUGCAAGCCCCUUUUGCCGAUGGAGAAAGUGAGACCCAGAGGGCUAACCCACCUUCCUCUGGGGACAGCGAUACAACUGAAGCUGAGCUGGUCCAGCCUGGUGCCAUCUGCAGAAAGACUUACGUGCAUUUUCCCUCACAAGCUGUGGAUGAAGGGGUAAGGUCUGACCCGUGCCCAGCAUCGGCUGGGAGCUGGACCAAGAUUUCAUGGAAAGUAAAACUCAAGACUUUCACUUCCUUGAGUGUGAAAUAAAACAACUCAUCUCUAGUUUGCAGAGCACUAUCCUCUUUAUUAUCUUAUUUUCUUCUCACAACAACCUGUGACAAACACAUUAUUAUUUCCAUUUUGCAAUUUCAGAACCUGGGGCUGGGAGGGAGAUUGAGCUGCAUUUUGCAGCUCUGGAGGGAGGAGAUAGAGCCCAGGUGGGCUGAGGCUGUUUCAGGCCUUCGUUGCUCUAUCACGCAGCCUCUGGAGUCAACCACCGAUCAUCCAAGACAACCCAGAUAUUAGCUCAUUGGCCUGCUGAAUCCCAUUUCCUCUUCAAAUGUGACCCGCCCCAACAAGCUCAGUCUGGAGCCCACUGGACUAGGAGUGGAUUUGGAGGGUGCUACCCUUUGGCUGGCCAGCCACCAAUCAGAUACUUCUGCUGGAUCUGACCUAAGUCUGCACAGGGAGCUGGGAGAACCGAGGCACGAUGGAAGGAUAUGAGCCGGAAGUCUGCAGGAAACACCAGUUCCCAGGACCUCCGUUUACAGAUGGGAAGACCGAGGCUCAGAGAAUAUAAGCUGCUGGCGGACACACCACUGGGAAGUGGUGAAACCUCACCCAGGCUCUCCCCCUGCCAUGCAGGCUGUCACUGAAAUCAUGCUGGGCCCUCACCAUCCAAGCCGGUGGGUACCCCCGACAGAGCCACACUCUUGAAGGUGUUUCUCUACCCAAUCUAAAGCAGGAUGUCAUUUUUCACCUCCACAUUCCCGUCAUCGUGCAGCAGGUUGCACAUCUCCUCAUUUCUGAGGAAGCCAUUUGGGGCUGUGUUCUGUGAACGGCCUGUUGCUAUUUGCUCGUGUUCCCCUGGGGUUGUUGAUUUUCCGCUGACUGUAGGAGUGCUUUAGCAUUUAAGGAAACUCACCCUUUGCCAUAUGUGUUGCAAAUAUUUUUUCUAGUUUUUUUUUUUAUAGUGGGAUUUUAAUAUCACAUGCAGUUGAAUUUUCAAUAUUUAUUUUCUGGCUUGACAUUUAAAGUCAACCUAGCCAGCCUCCUUCCGUGGUGUUCCUCUGGGCUUUUGGGGUGCGAGGUUUUCCCUGAUCUUGCCCUUGGCUGUGUAGAUGGAUGCUGUCCAUUUUCAGCUCUGCAGUGCUUGGAAAGCCAGCCUUCCUGUUAAUGCUACCUUCAGCUUCCUCAAAAACAGGACGAAACCUACAGGUGAGCCUCUCCUCCUGGAUUCCAGGUGCUGCCACAGUGGCUGACGGAAGACUCUCGAAAGAGCUGAUCACAGGCCACCCUCGGUCCAAAUUCCUCCGGGGUGCCUUUACCCUCAAAGCGGUCAGGUUUCUGAGAUGACAAAGCCCCUUUGACAGGCCUGUCAACUUCCCAGGCACCUACCAGGGCCCCAGCCAGGUCCAGAUCCAGAGCUUCCAGGACCCACCAUGUUGCUGGGCCCAUUCCCGGCCCUUCUCUGUGUCUCUGCAGAGGCUUAAUGGAGGGAGGCUCUCUUGAUUGGCAGCUUGUGGGGCAGGUGCCAAGCCUCAUUCAUUACACUUCUCAGCAUCUAACACAGUGCCUGGUGCACAGAAGAUGAAUUCAACUGGCAACGCAAAUGGUGUUCGUGAGCAGCACCCACAAGAACCACUCUCCACAAAGAUCCAACAUCUAGAAAGCCUGAGGCUCCACCCCUGGAAAAAGCUUCUGAAAAUCCUGGAAUCAGUGGGCAAAGCCUUGGCCAUUCUUCCAGACAGGUCAGUGAAACGCUGAUUAAAAACAAAAAGGACCCUAAGUAAAUUCUCCUUCAGGGUGAAUCUUUAAGUCACAAGCUUCUCCGCCUCCCUGGCUUCCCCUUUGUCCUGUUAAUCAGGCUUUGUUUCUGUGACUGUUAUUUAUUUAGAGACAAGGUAUUGCUCUGUCCAGGCUAGAGUGCCGUGGUUCCAUCACGGCUCACUGUAGCCUCAAUCUCCCAAGCUCAGGCGAUCCUUCCGCCUCAGCCUUGUGACUAUUUAUUGCUGGGCACCCACUAUGUGCAAGCACUGCGCUAAACUCUAGGGCUAGAGCAGUGACCAGUGCCACUGAGGUUCCUGCCUUCCUUGGGGUCACAUUGUAGUGGGGAGCACAGACGAUAAAUAAGUAGAUUAAUAUGCAGUAAAAAGUGAGAUGGUGCUACAUGCUAGGUAGCCAAAAAAAAAAAAAAAAAAAAGGCGAGUAAGGAGCUAUAAAGCUGGGGGAGCCAUAGUGGCGAAGUGAUCGGGGAAGGCCUCCCUGAGGAGGGGCCUUCAGAGCAGACACCUGGAUGAAGGAAGGGCAGGCCACACUGAGGUGGGCGGUGUGUUCAGGGCUGAGGGAAGAUGAGGCACAAAAGCUUGGAGGCAGGAAUGUGACUGGCAAGGGCAGUAGGGGGCAGAUGGGGUAGUGUGGGAGGAAAUGAGAUCAGAGAGGUCAGAGGGAUCCAGAGCUGGCAGGGGCUUGUAGGCUUGGAGGAGUUUGGAUCUGACACCAAUGGCCAGAGGGCAAGAGAUCCUUAGCAUUAUUGGCAGCAGGCAGGCACUUCCCCACCCAGAGGUAACAUUCAAAGUGUCUCUUUUCCUUGGCACACUGACUUGUGCUUCAGUAGUACCUCCUGGGAGCCAGGGAAGAUGCAGGGGACACAGGAAAUGAGAGGGUGCUGGGUUCAAAGCUGUCUUCUGCUGUGACUGCUUUGGAACUUGGGUCCAUUGCUUACACUCUCCAAAUCUCAGACUUUUGUGCCCUGCAGCUUUGUCAGGAGGGCUCAGGGACAUGACAUACCUUAUGGGCAGCCUGGCACACAGUGGGCACUCGGGAAACAUUAGCUAUUCGGGAAACAUUAGUGGUCACCCCUUUUCCCUUCUCCAGAGGGCUCUCUGUUGGGUUUAAUCCCAGCAUCACUAGAAUUCCAGGUCCCCUCCCUCUUGGGGAACAAUAGUGUUUUGUCAUAUGCAUUGUCUUCACAUUUCCUUCCUGGAGUUCAGGGGAGGAAAGGGACUUAAGAUUUGUUCGGUGCCAGCCCCCUGCCUGACACCUGCUACACACAAGUCCACAUCAUCCCCCAGAAAGCCCAGGAAGUGGAUACAAGCAUCUUAUUUCAUGGGCAAGGAAGCCGAGACUCAAAGGGGCUAAGGGAUGUAUGCCACAGCUCAUAGGUGGCAGUGCCAGCGUUCCAGUCCAGGCAGGACUGCAAUCAGCCUGGUGGUGCUGGAGGCCAGUUGACUUUGUGUGACCCCGUGGUUUUCCCAUGAAAGAAACAUAAGGACCAGUGCUUGUACCCUGGGCCCCAAUGCUGGGGUCUGAAUCUUGCCUGUGCUUCUUCUAGGGAAGUUACAGGGACAAACAUCCAACAUGCCUCAGUUUCCCCAUCUUGGGGAGAAGAAUAACAGUCCCUACCUUACAUGAUUAUUGUGGGAAUGAAAUGAGAUUACUCACGCAUGUACCUAGGACAGUCCCCGGCACACAGUAGUUGCUCAAAUAACCUUAACUAUCGUAUUAUGCGAAAGUUGUGACCUGGCAUUUUCUUAGUAAUGCUUUCUGAAUCAGAUCCUUCAAGCCUACUCUUCCUUAGGCUGCCCCAGAGGCAAGGAACCGGGUUCCCCGUCUGUGGCAGAUUGUACUUUCACAGAGGACCACAGCAGCCUAUCCCACUUUGCAUGCUCUUCUGCAUUGGCACUCUGCAUUCCCCUUCAAGAAGUGGAGUCAUUCCCCUCUUCCUUGGACCUGGGGCCAGAAGUCAUGUUCCAUUCUUAUCAUAGGUCCGAAAAGGUCACUGAGCUUCCCCUUGCUUCUCUUGGGAUGCUUGCUCUGGGGAAGCCAGCUGCCUCCUAAGUCCAAGUGCUCCGGGACUGUCAUUGUGGAGACCAGGAGCAGGUGCCGGCUGUGCCUGCAUGGCAGUGAAGCCACACUGGACCCUCUAGACCAGCCCACCCACAGUUGAUGCCAUGGAGAGUGGAAUGAUUUUCCAGUGGAGCCCUGCCUGAAUCUCCCAAGAGAGGGGGAGCCCACAGGGUCAGCUGAGUUGAAAUCUGAAGAUUGGGCAGAGAGCACCAAGCCUGCACCCAGUGAGACAGCAGCCCCAGCAUGUGGCUGUUUAAAUUAAAAUUAACUGAUAUUGAGUGAAAUGAAAAGUUCAGUUCCUCCAUCACACAGGCCAUGUUUCAAAUGCUCGGUAGCCACAUGGGCACAGAAUUGCAGCAAGUUCUAUUGGAGGCACUGCUCCAAGGCCCCGGGGUCCUACUGACCAGGUGGAAGGCCACCCGCCAGCUGGGAACAUCCACAUGGAGCUUUGUGUGCCAGAGAAGUCAACUUCUUGAAUGAAGUUAAGACGUGGGCUGGGGGAGGUGUUUGCCACUGUAACUAACAGGUAUCCUGUUAGUUAUCCUGGCCUGGAGGAGCGUUCCAUCUGGUACAGAACAGAGAUAAGUAAACAGUCCAUCGUGGGCCGGGGGAGACACAGGAGCCUGAAGAUCCCUGGGCCCAGAUGCAAGGCGAGGUAAUCAGAGAUGGCCCCAUGGAGGAGGCAGCACCUAUCCCCAGCACCAGGUCCAGCCAAGGGAGAAUGGUGAGAGGCAUUUCGCCUCCAUUUCUCUCCCGCAGUUCCUAGCUCUCCUUCUUUCAGGCACCAAAAGCCUCCUGCUGUCUUCUUUCCCACUGGCG